UACAGAGGUCCCAAGCGUUGUUCGGAUUCACUGGGCGUAAAGGGUGCGUAGGUGGCAGGAUAAGUUUGAUGUGAAAUCUCCGGGCUUAACCCGGAAAAGGCAUUGAAUACUAUUUUGCUCGAGGGUCGGAGGGGAGACUGGAAUUCUCGGUGUAGCAGUGAAAUGCGUAGAUAUCGAGAGGAACACCAGUGGCGAAAGCGAGUCUCUGGACGACUCCUGACACUGAGGCACGAAAGCUAGGGGAU
This 245-nucleotide ribosomal RNA is filed under the name uncultured bacterium. Its description in RNAcentral is "partial 16S ribosomal RNA". It matches the Rfam family "Bacterial small subunit ribosomal RNA", at positions 524 to 768 of the family's 1533-position model. The record is from RNAcentral.